UUUCUCUCUCUCUCUUUGAUGAUCAUGAUGUUCACGAUAAAUCAAGCAGCACUGCUCUUCGUUCAGCUGUUAGUGGUGUGGCAUGUCUUUGCAGAGAUCACUAAAGACGACCACAGAGCUGUGCUGGUGUCCAGAGGAGACUCAGUGACGCUGACUUGCAACAUAUCCAAGACAGAUGCAACACUGAUCACCUGGACCAACAACAGAUCUGUUUUUCAAUAUUCCAUUGUGCUGAAUCGCACCUAUUCAAAUUUCUCAUUUCAUAGACUGAAAAUAAAUCAUGAGUUACCUACAAAGCUAAUUAUUUUUAGUGCUCAGCCUGAAGAUGAAGGACUUUAUACAUGUAGCAUAACAGACAGACGUGGCGUAAACAGCAUUACAUGGAGUUUAACUGUGUCUGAGAACCCAGAAGAAUCCACUUCAUCAAAGUAUUUUCUACACAUCCUCCCACCUGCAAUUGGAUUCCUUCUUUGUUGCAUCACACUGGCUGUCUUUCUCUACAGAUGCUGGACCAGGACCGUGAACCAGGACCUGGAACCAGCACCUGCAUGACAUCAGGACUUUGAGUUUUGUCCAGUAUCAUGUUCAGCUGAGAGGAAAGGUGAUCCCUCCACAACCUCAAAGUUUUGCAGUAUAAAGGCCAGGCAGCACAUUCAGAAACUCAUUUUUAUUUGGGGCUUCUAGUGUGCUGCCAAGAAGACAGUCGAGAUAAAAGAUGAAUAGGAAACAAGGUACAGACUGGAAGGAGAGCUCAAGUGAAAGAUCACAUUGUUUUCUGUUUUCUUGGAAACGUACUUUACUUUUUUAUCUGUACGUGUAAAAUUUUGUGUAAAAAUAUUAAUUUUGACUGUUUUUUAUAUUUUGCUUGUUUCUUCUGUUUCUAUACAUUACAUUAUUACAUUAUUUUCGUCAUAAAUGUAUUAAAUUAGGCCUUUUGCACCUGAUUAUUUUCAUAAAGCUGAAGUUGGAUAUAUGUAAAUUUUUUAAUAAGCAUAAUAAGCAUCCAGCAUAAAACUAAACUCAUUCAGAUUAUGUCUGUUGUAUAAAUAUCUCCAGGUAACUUGUUGGUGAUUUUCAAACAGAUCUGGACUGACAUUUGUGCUGCUACAACUUUCAUUUUCUGUAUCUGCAAAUAAUAUCUGAACAUUUGACUUUUUGGUUAUUUAUCUGACACUGUUGUCUCACAGCAAGAAGGUCCUGGGUUUGAAUCCACCAUCGGGCUGGGACUUCUCUGUGUAGAGUUUGCAUGUACUCUCCGAGUACUCUGACUUCCUCCCACAAUUCAAAGACAUGUCGUUAGUCACGUUACGUUAAUUGGUAAUUCUAAAUUCCCCUUCAGUGUGUCUUCAGGCUCCAGACAUGUGUCAUGCUUUUUGCACCCUUCAUUUGAACUUAACUACUUUUGUUUUGAAUAUGGCUGCUGAGAAUUUAGCCAACAAUAAAAGUGAAAAACAUGAUUCUGGAAGUUGUGUCCAAAAUGUUCAUGAUACUGAAUGUGAAAUUCAACGUCCACUUUGAAGACAUUUCAUUCAAACUGCUAUUUUAACAGCUAGCUCCUAGCUGACCAAGACUGUUUGUUUUUAUACAAAUUGCUAUUUUAACAGCUAGCUGCUCACUGAGCAAGACAUUUUGUACUACUUAGUGAAUUUAGUCUUGUUCUUGGUUUUGUAGCGUAACUAGGCCAAGAACAAGAGUAUGUGGAUCUAUAGAUCCACAUAUGUUGUCACGGUAAUAUUUAGAGUUUGUUAAGAUUCACUAGUUCUCAUAUUAUAAUGGACCUGAAAGACUUGAAUAGAACUAAGAUGUCAUAUGUUUCCAUACAUAUCAACCAUAAUUCAUAUCCCCAAUUUGGUAAAUAAUGAAAUAGAGCAACAAACAAUAUAAACAUGAAGCACAAUAAUCAAAGUUGUGCUACAAAUUGAGCAACUCAAAAAAAUUAUUGCCAGUCACAAUUUUUUUUAUAGAUGGGAAUGUCAAUAUGAGAGUAUACAACAUGUUGCACAACUGUAAAGUGUCAGCUAACAAUCUGAAUGUGGUGGGUAAAGUGUGCAGAUGUGGUUUUACUUCAGCUGAUAACUUUUCCUUCAUUCUGGUGCAUCUUAUAUUUAUGACAUGA
Molecule: long non-coding RNA, 2116 nt
Organism: Oreochromis aureus
Lineage: Eukaryota; Metazoa; Chordata; Actinopteri; Cichliformes; Cichlidae
Exons: 5
Source: RefSeq, a predicted model, not a curated record